UGCUGUACACAACUCAUGCCCAUUUGCUGCUCCCUCUCUCUCUCUCCGUAAACCCUUAAACCCACCAUAAAUCACUACAACCUUUUCAUCUCUUGCCAACUGCACAACCUCUGCGCCUUUUCAUAUUUCAGGUUGAUCAGGAUGUGUGAUAGUGGAGUUAUAAGGGCAUGGGAAGAGUGUGUUGUGGUGCCAGAAAGGGGAAGUCGCAUUGUUCAUUAUAACCUCAAAGAUAACAUUGGGAAUUCUGUUGUUGCUGUGGUUGGGAGGGAGAGGUGCAUCAAUCACAUGGUCUAUACAGUUUCAGAGGACUACUUGCGAGUCUUUGGGUCCGCGGGCGGUGUUUAUGCGGGGAAGAAGUGGCAAGCAAGACGAGAGGUUGUUGAUUGGCUCAUCACGGUUGUGGCAAGAGGUGGACCAAUCAUGGCUAGCUCAAUCUCCCGCCGAAGCUGCAAUUCACGAGCUACAGAUGAAAAAGUCAAACGUCCCAAUCCUGAAAAGUAUCCACUGCAAACUUCCAAGAGAGUGAAAAGAUGCAGGCUGAGUGAGAUCCUCCACAGCAACUGCACUAGCAAGACAGAUUUAACUUCAGACAAUCGUGCAGUUAAAUGGGAACCGACAUGUAACAGAGUGAGAAUCAAUCUUCCAAUGAAGAUACCGGUUAUUGCUCUUCCUGCACCUGAGCCACCAUGUAAAGUAUUUCCCAAGUUCAACAAAAAUAUCGAGCUUCUUAGUCAGGACAGCGGCAUGCGAGGCUGCUGGUUCAGGUGCAGGAUCUUGCUUUCAUCAAAAAGCCGUCUGAAGGUUCAAUACAAGGAUGUUUUGCAAGCCGAUGGAGUUCAAAAACUGGAGUUCUGUUUACAUAUCCUCUUUGCAUAAAAAUAUAGGAAUGGGUUACAGAAUCACGAGUGGCAGAUCCUGAUAAACUAGGCAUCAGAUGUUUAGGCCGUCUUACAAUCAGGCCUCAGCCAUGUAUGGAUUCUUCAGUCACUACAUUUGUGGUCGGAGCUGCAGUUGGUGUGGUGGUGCAACAGCUGGUGGGAAGGCGUUGUAAUUGGAUAUGAGACACCGACGAAUACUAAUCUUCAAGUUUACUUCCCUGGUGAGAACAGAUUCUCAACUGCUGCGAGGAAGCAUGUGAGAGUUUCAAGAGAUUGGAUUGACAGCAAAUGGGUGAACAUAAAGGGAAAACAUGAUAUACUAUCUUUCUUAUCUUCGAUAUUUAGCCCCGGCCCAAACCUUACACCACAAGCUGCAUUCGUUGAGGCUAAUAGCUCUGCAGCAAACAGCGUGGUUGCCACCCAUUGGAAACAUGAAGGUGACAAGUGGAAGAUACCGAGUUCAACUGCUGGCGAGACGCCUAAUUUCAAGAAACGACUUAUAAACAGAUAUAAUGAAGAGGUGAUGAAGUCUGGCAGGCUCUAACAGUGAUAUAUGACCAGCAACUUUUGGCUCUGUGAAUUUGUAGAUAUGAAUACUUAGAGAAAAUAGAUCAUGAUGGAUUGUGCACAUUUUGGUUGCAUUCUCUGCAAAUGUAUACAUCUUUUGGCCUCAUAGUGUAUACGUUGAUGUAUGUAACUAGUCAUUUUACCA
Non-coding RNA from Salvia hispanica, 1590 nucleotides. The record is from RefSeq and is a predicted model, not a curated record. NCBI's taxonomy places the organism in Eukaryota, Viridiplantae, Streptophyta, Magnoliopsida, Lamiales, Lamiaceae.